This 571-nucleotide unclassified non-coding RNA is filed under the name Portunus trituberculatus (swimming crab). RNAcentral's name for it is "uncharacterized LOC123499838, transcript variant X3". The record is from RNAcentral. Lineage: Eukaryota; Metazoa; Arthropoda; Malacostraca; Decapoda; Portunidae.
UAGGUAGAUAGAUAAUUAGUUAGACAGACAGAUAGAUGAAUGGCUAGACAUAAAUUUAUGUAAAUUAGUGUGACGUGAGUGAGGAGGGUUGGGACCUACGUGGCGUGGGUAACCACCGGCUUAGACUAAGGUAACAAUGCUUACAUAGAACGAUGCUCACCGAGAGUGGCUAGUUAGUUAUUAAGUGUCUUUACUGCAAACAAGGGAGGGAGGAGGAGGAGGUGAAGCGGAAAGCAAUGAGGGACAUCGGGACGAUUUCUUGUGUUGGCAUCGUGGAGGUGAGUCGUGUGUGCGCCGAGAAGUGUGUCUGUCCUCUGCCUCGUUGUAAGGUGUUGGUUUGGUGGUGUUCCUGUUGUAUGUCGGGAAGGAGUGUACAACAAGGGGCGGUGUAUACGACGAGGGACAAGGUCGGGUCAUGCCGGCCAUCCCUAAACAUGGAGCAAGCAAGUCUCGGGCGUCAGUCAGGAGGUGGAGCACGACCCGCCACAAAUCUGGCACAGGCGUCCCUACAACUGCGCAACUGCGCAUUACCAACUUCGUGGAGGCGCAUGUGUUUCACUCUCUUCAGAAG